Molecule: ribosomal RNA, 402 nt
Filed under: uncultured bacterium
Lineage: Bacteria
Description: bacterial SSU rRNA
Rfam family: Bacterial small subunit ribosomal RNA
Source: RNAcentral
UGGGGAAUCUUGGACAAUGGGCGAAAGCCUGAUCCAGCCAUGCCGCGUGAAUGAUGAAGGCCCUAGGGUUGUAAAAUUCUUUCGACGGGGAAGAUAAUGACGGUACCCGUAGAAGAAGCUCCGGCUAACUUCGUGCCAGCAGCCGCGGUAAUACGAAGGGGGCUAGCGUUGUUCGGAAUUACUGGGCGUAAAGCGCACGUAGGCGGAUCGAUAAGUAAGGGGUGAAAUCCCAGAGCUCAACUCUGGAACUGCCCUUUAGACUGUCGAUCUGGAGCAGAGUAGAGGUGAGUGGAAUUCCGAGUGUAGAGGUGAAAUUCGUAGAUAUUCGGAGGAACACCAGUGGCGAAGGCGGCUCACUGGACUCUUGCUGACGCUGAGGUGCGAAAGCGUGGGGAGCAAACA